Molecule: long non-coding RNA, 788 nt
Organism: Trichosurus vulpecula (common brushtail)
Lineage: Eukaryota; Metazoa; Chordata; Mammalia; Diprotodontia; Phalangeridae
Exons: 3
Source: RefSeq, a predicted model, not a curated record
GGGUGCAGCGACGGUUGCUGUCCAGCUCUGUCCUGUGGCAGCGGUGGUGGGACGUUUGUGUGAACGGUUGAUUUUCAGAGUUGUUGGCUCCCUUCGAGACUCGGACGGUCGCGAUGGCCCGUGGAAACCAGCGGGAACUUGCCCGUCAGAAAAACAUGAAGAAAACACAGGAGAUUAGCAAGGGAAAAAGAAAAGAAGAUAGCUUGUCUGCCUCCCAGAGAAAGCAGAGGGAUUCUGAAAUCAUGCAACAAAAGCAGAAGGCUGCUAAUGAGAAGAAAUCUCUGCAGACAGGUGAAAAAUGAUCCACAGUAAUUUGAAGAACAAAGUGGAUCACAGGAUCUGAAAUCAAGAGUUUGUAGAAUGACCAGCCAUUAAAUAUCUAACAGUUUAUCAUAUCUUAGACUUGUUUACUUUCUAUUUAUUUCUUUUUAGUCCACAAUUACUAAAGCUGCAUGGCAUAGAAUAGUUCUAAGAAAUGGAACAUUACUUCAUGCUUCAUGCUUAUAAAAGUGAUAGCAUCCCUGUGGUUCAUAUUAAUAUCUAGAAUUAUGUAUGUAGAUAAGUAGUUUGAUACCAGAAUUUAAGAUUCAAAUCUUUAUCCUUUCUGUAGUAUUCUCAUGAUAUGUUAACUUUUGUUUGAAAUAAGUCAUUAAGAUCCAUUAUAAUUUUUUACUAUUGGAUUUAUAAAAGUCAAGUUUUCAUGUAACUUUUUAGAGCAUGUUUUGCAUGAAAUAUUAUCUAAAUAUGACACUACUCUGAUUAGUAAACAAAUGUUUUAACAACAGCAA